GUGCUUGCUUUGGCAACACAUAGACUAAAACUGGAACAACACAGAGAAGAUUAGCAUGGCCCUGCACAAGGAUGACAUGCAAAUUUAUGAAGCAUUCCCUAUUUUU
Molecule: small nuclear RNA, 106 nt
Organism: Zalophus californianus (California sea lion)
Lineage: Eukaryota; Metazoa; Chordata; Mammalia; Carnivora; Otariidae
Source: Ensembl